CACCAGCGCCACAAGUGGGGACCAGUAUUAUUGGGUCUAAAGCGUCCGUAGCCGGAUUAGUAAAUCUUCUGUGAAAUUGUUGGGCUUAACCUAACAGCGUGCAGGAGAGACUGUUAAUCUUGAGACCGGGAGGAGUCAGAGGUAUUCAUGGGGUAGCGGUAAAAUGCAAUAAUCCCAUGAGGACCACCUGUGGCGGAGGCGUCUGACUAGAACGGGUCUGACGGUGAGGGACGAAAGCUGGGGGAGCGAUCCGG
RNAcentral lists this ribosomal RNA (254 nucleotides) under uncultured bacterium. RNAcentral's name for it is "partial 16S ribosomal RNA". It matches the Rfam family "Archaeal small subunit ribosomal RNA", at positions 474 to 727 of the family's 1478-position model. The record is from RNAcentral.